CGCACCUUGCGCCCCUUGGCAUUCCGAGGGGCACGCCUGUUUGAGUGUCGUGAACUCCUCCACCCUCUACCUUUUUCGGAAGGCACUGGGCUGGGAUUUGGGAGCUUGCGGGUCCCUGGCCGAUCCGCUCUCCUUGAAUACAUUAGCGAAGCCCUUGCGGCCUUGGUGUGAUAGUCAUCUACGCCUUGGCUUAGCGAACAUAUGGGAAUCGCUUCCAACCGUCUCGCAAGAGACAAUCACUACCAACUUGACCUCAAAUCAGGCGGGACUACCCGCUGAACUUAA
Molecule: unclassified non-coding RNA, 285 nt
Filed under: Peniophora sp.
Lineage: Eukaryota; Fungi; Basidiomycota; Agaricomycetes; Russulales; Peniophoraceae
Description: partial contains 5.8S ribosomal RNA, internal transcribed spacer 2, and large subunit ribosomal RNA
Source: RNAcentral